Non-coding RNA from Mycena leptocephala, 91 nucleotides. The record is from the annotation of a GenBank genome assembly. NCBI's taxonomy places the organism in Eukaryota, Fungi, Basidiomycota, Agaricomycetes, Agaricales, Mycenaceae.
UCGGACGUGGUGCACGGUGCAAUUCCGCUUGUUGUUACUGCUGCACAAGUUACAAAUGCGGGAAGACCGGGUUCGACUCCCGGCGUCCGAA